This 1226-nucleotide ribosomal RNA is filed under the name Lactiplantibacillus plantarum. RNAcentral describes it as "bacterial SSU rRNA". It matches the Rfam family "Bacterial small subunit ribosomal RNA", at positions 44 to 1242 of the family's 1533-position model. The record is from RNAcentral. Lineage: Bacteria; Bacillati; Bacillota; Bacilli; Lactobacillales; Lactobacillaceae.
GGGCAAACUGCAAGUCGAACGAACUCUGGUAUUGAUUGGGUGUUGCAUCAUGAUUUACAUUUGAGUGAGUGGCGAACUGGUGAGUAACACGUGGGAAACCUGCCCAGAAGCGGGGGAUAACACCUGGAAACAGAUGCUAAUACCGCAUAACAACUUGGACCGCAUGGUCCGAGUUUGAAAGAUGGCUUCGGCUAUCACUUUUGGAUGGUCCCGCGGCGUAUUAGCUAGAUGGUGGGGUAACGGCUCACCAUGGCAAUGAUACGUAGCCGACCUGAGAGGGUAAUCGGCCACAUUGGGACUGAGACACGGCCCAAACUCCUACGGGAGGCAGCAGUAGGGAAUCUUCCACAAUGGACGAAAGUCUGAUGGAGCAACGCCGCGUGAGUGAAGAAGGGUUUCGGCUCGUAAAACUCUGUUGUUAAAGAAGAACAUAUCUGAGAGUAACUGUUCAGGUAUUGACGGUAUUUAACCAGAAAGCCACGGCUAACUACGUGCCAGCAGCCGCGGUAAUACGUAGGUGGCAAGCGUUGUCCGGAUUUAUUGGGCGUAAAGCGAGCGCAGGCGGUUUUUUAAGUCUGAUGUGAAAGCCUUCGGCUCAACCGAAGAAGUGCAUCGGAAACUGGGAAACUUGAGUGCAGAAGAGGACAGUGGAACUCCAUGUGUAGCGGUGAAAUGCGUAGAUAUAUGGAAGAACACCAGUGGCGAAGGCGGCUGUCUGGUCUGUAACUGACGCUGAGGCUCGAAAGUAUGGGUAGCAAACAGGAUUAGAUACCCUGGUAGUCCAUACCGUAAACGAUGAAUGCUAAGUGUUGGAGGGUUUCCGCCCUUCAGUGCUGCAGCUAACGCAUUAAGCAUUCCGCCUGGGGAGUACGGCCGCAAGGCUGAAACUCAAAGGAAUUGACGGGGGCCCGCACAAGCGGUGGAGCAUGUGGUUUAAUUCGAAGCUACGCGAAGAACCUUACCAGGUCUUGACAUACUAUGCAAAUCUAAGAGAUUAGACGUUCCCUUCGGGGACAUGGAUACAGGUGGUGCAUGGUUGUCGUCAGCUCGUGUCGUGAGAUGUUGGGUUAAGUCCCGCAACGAGCGCAACCCUUAUUAUCAGUUGCCAGCAUUAAGUUGGGCACUCUGGUGAGACUGCCGGUGACAAACCGGAGGAAGGUGGGGAUGACGUCAAAUCAUCAUGCCCCUUAUGACCUGGGCUACCACGUGCUACAUGGAUGGUACAA